ACGAAUCCGAAACCCUAGAUCAUCUCCCAUGUAUUUUACUUAGUAUUUUAACCAGAAUCAGCAAAUAAGAAGCAAAAGGUGAAACUUGAUUACGUGUUAGAUGACUUAGAUCGAGUGGGGGCAUCAACGCCUCCACGCCCCCACCAUCCCUCUCUGAACCUCUCGGUCUCCCCCACCAUUAUUUCCUCUCCUCUAUUUUAUUCAUUUCCGCUGAGAUAUUUUCAUCUCUCUCCCCCUCUCGUUCAUCUCCCCUACCUUCUUCCUCGUCAGGCAUACACGCCUCUACUUGUCUCCUCCACCGCAGCACAGUCGCAGAUCCCUUCUUCUUCCUCCCCUCGUCGCCUCUUUCGUCUCCGAUUCUCCGAUGGACGUCGCCGGCCGUCAAGUUUCCUUCAUCCCUUGCGUUUCUCUGUCUGCAUUCUGCUCUAAUCUUAUUGCCUCCCACCUCCUCCGACCUCUCAAUUUUGUCGUUUCUCGACGGAGGUUUGAUUCGUCUGAGAGAGUGAACGUCUUGUUUGGCUGCAAACAAAAUUUCAGAAAUUACGAGCGUAAAUGGAGCUCAGAACUUCGUGAAGGACUAAUCGUCAGCCCUAACCGCUGAACGUCGCGAUAGUAUUAUAAUAAAGGAAAGUGAUUUCUUGUUGGAGAUAUGGAGCUCUCAGGUCCAAGCCUCCGAGAAUAUUAUGUUGCAACAAAGACACGAGAUCAUUGCAGUGCUCUCUAAACAAUAUCAGACUACGUGAACAAGAAGAAAUUAACAGGCAAUAGAAAUUCCAAGAGGGAGGGAGGGAGGGACGGUGGGUGUGGUGGCUUGUGUCAGAAAAUAGAUUUGGUAAUGGCCGCCACAUUCAUGCAUAAAGAUUGUAGUCAUAUGGAAAUGCCUUAUAUGCACGUUUCUUGAUUCAUAGUAAUUUGUUAUGCCUUCAUAUGCUAUAGGCUUCCUUAUGCAGCUAUGUAAUCAGGAGAGGUUCAAUAAAGAGAGGAAGACUUGAAAGUGAAUCACACUAAAUUUCCGUUGCUAUUGCUAAAAGGGUAGAGGAGGCAGGUAAUUUUUAUGUGUGUGUUGAAUCAUCUUAGUUUCAAUGGGAUCCAAGAAGGGAAAAGAGUAAAAGCCAACUCUUACGUUGAACACAAGCCUUAUCCUCGCUAACCAAAUUUAGGAAAAGAUGAUGGAGGAGGCUAUGGGAACUGAUCCAGAAAGAUCAAGACCAUUAUGUAGCGUACUUAGCUUUUGUCAUAUAUGUUAAGCACAUGUUAUCUAGAGGUCUUUGAAAUCAUUCUCUCAGAUUUUAGUAUGCGUAGUUAUGGCCCCCAUGGAGUAGUCCUGUAUUAUUGCACAGCGUCCCUAAACUGCAGUUCCCCUGAUUUUUAGUCUUUUUGCUAUAAACCUCGUUCUCAUAAGAAAAAAGGAAAAUGAGUUGCUCAUAUCAAUCUAUGUUCUUUCUUUCAAAAAAAUAAAAUAAAAAUAAAAAUAAAAAUCAGUUAUCUGAAAUCAUAGGAGAAUAGGUCCAUAGGAAAUUGGAAAAUAGUUUUCCUGGUUCAUUAGGUUGUGCAAUUGCAAAGUCCAAUCAUCAUCAAAGAGUUGAUCCUGCUAAGAAAAAAACCUAGCUGUAAGCUUGAUACAUAAAAUGAUGUUUUGGGGGUGCUGGGUAGAAGGAAAAGAGGCUCCUAGCUAGCUAAUGUAAACUAUCCUUGCCGAGGAGCUGGCAAUAAUUGAGAGCAAAGUGGCAAACAGGUGCAUAACAUAUUGGUACUUGAACAUUAUUUGGGGCCAAAUAUUAUAGAAAAGCUAAGAAACAUUGUAUGAUGGUAUUCUAGUAUAUAGGUACUUGCACAUUAUUCUAGGAUAUUGAUACUUGCACAUUAUUUGGGGCCAAAUAUUAUAGAAAAGCUAAGAAACAUUGUAUGAUGGUAUUCUAGUAUAUAGGUAGCUGGUGGAGAAAAGGCUAUCCUAGCAGUAAUUCUUAGCUGAUCAUUUCAGAUAAUCAGCCAUUUUGGAACCUGGACAUGGUGCUGACUCCCACUGGCGGUAGCAGUGGGGAUUUUUGACAAUGGCAGAAAGCCCAAUUCAACAAUAUCUUGCAAGUGAAUCGGCAGUGUUGCUUGCUUUUGUCAAGUGCUGGAUCAUGAUAGGACUUUUGGAGGAAACCCGAUUAGUUUCGUGGCAGAAUCACGGUAAGAGAAGUGGGGGAAUGCUCUUAAAAUCAAUUCACAUAGUUCGAUGAAGAGAGGAUAUUUUUUCUGUAGUGGAUGAAUUACGGAGAUCUAUGAUGGAAUGACAAAAGCGAAGGGUGCUCUUUGGAUCUUAUUGAUGCCGGAGUGCGGAAGCAUUGCAAGUGAAUGGGAUUAAAUAUCUUAGUAGACCAUUGUGAAUAUUUAGGCCCCAUUUGGUUGACAAAAUGGAAAUGAUUCCAUUUCGUACGGAAAAGGUAGCCCAAGGGGGUUGAAGGGUUUCUAUUUCAUCCCCCCUUUCUGGUGCAUCCUUUUCCCAUGCAACACGUUAGCUUUCACUUAGAAAACAUGGGAAGGGCAUUCAGUCCUUUAGUUAGUGAACUGAACUAAGCCAGAUUGUUCACCUUUUUUCUAUGUAGAUCAGGUGCGUAGUUAACACAUGAGUUCACAAGACUGAAACACAGAAUUGGCGGAGGUGUGCACUUCUAGCGGAGCAUGAGGUUCUACAUGUUGUCAACAACUCUUGGCUUAAGAUGUUUGUCAUAGCCUAUCACGAGUAGGAAGCUAAUUUUGUAUUGCUGAGAAGGCGCUUUUUUUCCAAAAAGGAUUGGUGCAUGCAGUUAAUGAUACUUUGAGAUACUGAAUGGUCUUGCAAUCAAAUGAUAGUGAAAGGAUCUGUUCAGGUUAGUGUACCCAGGGAUUGGUGAUGUGCUAAGAAACUAAUUGAAAUUUAAAGAGUGAUCAUUGUACUGCAGGAGUAUUGAUAAAAUAUCUACCAGUAUCUAAUGAAAAGGGACAACGUAUAGUUUAGCCAGGUCAUAUCUUCCAAAAAUAAAAUAAUAUCAUAUAUCAAAGUUUAGUGUUGCUCUUCCUUUUUUAAUCCUUUGGAGUAUCAUGACUUCAUGAGUCCCUUAAUGUUCCCUUAACCUUAUAGAUUAUCAUCCUCUUAUAGUUUAUCAAUUGAUAGUAGGACUCAUUUCAUUUAUGAACUGGAAUUUCAACUGCCUUAGGAUUUUGAACGAUAGGAAGUUGGGAAAACUUUCUUCAGUACUUCCUUUUGUUAUCUUUACCAAAAUUUCUCUGUACAUUGGUUGAGGGUUCUUGGAAACUGACUGUAAAUCGUAUUUCUGUUGUUGUUUGACAAUCAUCAGUGUUUUUUUUUUUUUUUUUGGCAAUGAUAUGGGAGAUUAUAGAGUUCCAAGUUCUAGGGAUGUGUUGCCCAAUUCUAAAAGGCCAAACUUUUGGUUAUCAGGUGCGAAACGAAGGCUCUAAGUAUCCACCAUAUGUUUUUUCACUUCAGUUGAUUUUAGUUAUGGCAUAAACUAUUGUGGAAAAGGUCGAAUUGGGUUAUUUUAUUCUUGAUUGUUCAAUGAGAUACAUUUUAACACAGAGGCAUCUGUAUUGUGGAAGGAGGCAUCUGUAUUCUGGAAUGUAAUUAAAUGACAUUUUUUUUGUUCUGGUUAUUUCUCUGGCGUCUUCUUGGGAAUCUUACAUCGAUCUCAGACAUAGUAAUGCUUUGUUUUUCCGGGAGAAGAAUAUCUAAUGAGGACUCCAUGAGGACUUUUAAAUCAACAGUUGGAUGACUGGUCUAAUUUUUAGUUGCAAAAUUAUUUCUUCAGCACACAAGUCAUCCAACCGUUGAUAUAAAAGUCCUUAUAGUGUCCUCAUUGUUAAGGUCCUCAUUACAGCCCCGCCCUUGUUGUUCCAUGAAAUAUUAGGCAUUAUAUUAUUUGUGAAAAAAAUGUGGAACUGAAUUAUAGUAGCAUUAGCAUUUAGGGUUUUGUUUUUAGUAUUUAAAUGGAUCCUUCUAUUAACCAGAACAAUCCAUGGAUAGAGUAUUGUUGAAAUUGUUGACAUGAUUAGGUGUUUUAACACUUGUUGAUGCCAUGAGAGCUUUUAUAUGGAUAUGGAACUUGAUUAUGUGAUCCAGGACAAGAGAAUAGUAAAAGAGAGUUCAAUGAUAGUUUUUUCUUUUCUACUCAUUUUGUUGAUUGAUUUCUUUUCCCCUAAACUGGUUAAAGAGAUCAGAGAACUUUGUGUGGUGACAAAAUAAAGGGAUCUGGAAAAUCCUUAGAGGUUUUACUGCCUCUGGGUUGAUUCUUACCAGCAAUUGCAUUUCGAGCCUUGUUCAGAGCUCCAUGCUUGAAUUGAAACACCUCAUAUUGAGAAGAGGUCUCCUGGAGAUUGGAAACAGAUCUUGUCGUGGAAACAAUUUCACCCAUAUGGAACAGACAUAUUUGAUGCUUUCUCUUAGCAAUAGCCUUUGGUCCCAUGUUACUGAACUUGGGAGGUUAGCCAUUCAUGUCUGCUCCUUGGUUCCACUAUUCAGUAAUUCGCAACUUCGUUGCUAUGAUCUGAAAAGGGGAACGAACUAUCUUUAAUGGAAUAAUUUUUGAAACUCUGGUGCUGCUGUGCCGCUAUAGGUGGGCUUUAUCUACAUCACAGGUGUUGAUUUCUUGACUGCUUUUUCAUUCUGCAACUGCAAAUGAUGGUAUCAUGGCUCUGGCUGAUGAAACAACAUUAAAUUCUGACUUGACUUUGGUAAUCUACUAUGUCCAAUAAAUUCCUCUCCUUCAGGCUAUUCAUUUAUGAGACAAGUGGAAGGAAAUAAUCCAUUUCUUGCAGUUUGCAUCUAUAAUAUUUAAGACCAAAUCAUCAAGGUUGGAGUGCUUCAAACCUACGAAUCUAUAUUGGCUAGUGUAGGAGACACGAUAUUGAAUCCACUAUUAGUCGUACAUAGAAUCCCAAUAUUUUCACUGUUAAGUUUCUGUGAUUAACCCUUGAUCACGACUCAACUGUAUUGUUUAAGAAGAGGGCUGAACUUCUUUGCCAGUUGGAAGGAAUAAGUGGUUUGAUAGUAUCGAGUUAUUUCUUGCUAUAGAAACAAAAAUUACUUCUGUUCAUCGACAGUUAUCAAUAAUGAAAUCUGGAUUUGUGAUUUAAAAGAUCUUUCUAAAUUUUGGUGGUUUUUCUAAGCUGUGAAAUGUGGCUACUUGAUGUGUUUACGAACUUCACACUUCCCCAGGAUAUAUAUGUUUAUGGGAUAAGGGUUACCUAUCUCUUUAAAUUUCUGUUGUCCUGUUUUUUUUUUUUUUUUUUUUUAAAUAUUUAUUUUUAUUGUUUUUAUUUAUUUAUUUACCAUGUUAUUACUCGAUCUAUUGCUACAAAUGAUUUUUCUUGAAGUGUAAUUUCUUACUGUUAGGAUCCUUUUAUAUAUUAGGCUUAUUCUUUUAUAUCUUGCGCGCUAUCGUUGUUUUAUGAAGCACUUCUGAUUGGUCUAAAUACUUCACUUUUUGAUUCUGUUCCACUUUGUGUAUCAAGGAAUAAUAUGCAAUAAAGCAUAUUGUGGUUAACGUUGAAGUUUUAUUUGUCAACAAUGAAGCUUUACCAGUUUACUUUUUUCAGAAUUUCUGAUAGUCUCAUAAAUUAUUUGUUUUAUCAAUUCAUAUGCUUUUAUUAUGUUUAUCACAAUCUGCAGUUAUUCAUUUCUUAGAAUGAGAGGCUGCAAUUUGAUUAAAGCAUGCAGCAAAAGUUUGUAUGUCUAUUUGGGAUAGCUGGUCUGAUAAUUACUGAGGAUGAAACUCGUUACUCGUCAGACUGGUGCAUCCACUACUCAGGUUGAACCAUUGUAUGAAAGCUGUACCUCAUAUGCUAUGUGUUCCAACUUCCAACGUACAACCAUGAAUUCAGGUUUGUUUGGAAAUUGAUGUUUCUCUUUUAAAUUUAUUACAUUUGCUCUUUUAAAUUGUUGUUUGGACAAAUAUUAAAGUAUAAUACCUCACGUGUGAAUAAUUUUUGCAUGUGUUGUUCCUGAAAAGUUUCAAGUAUCAUACCAUACAGAUCAGCAGUGACCGACGCCGAUAUUAUCAGUGGUAUCAACUUAAAGCCGAGUUCUUUUUGUAGUAAAUUUGAGAAAGCUCACAAGAUGAAGAUGAAGGCAUACAUCAAGCUGCUUGAUAAAAGUGAUAUUACUAUCUGAAUCCAUAUUAACAAAAAAUAUCCCAAGCUAGUGAAGACCGUGAUAGUCCUAAAUCAAGUACCACUUACCAGAUUAAUGGCAAAAUCAGUAUUCCAAAGGCCCGAUAUCUCUUAGCAACAUACAGUAGCAUCGAGCCUUUGUAGAAUGGAAAUUGUUAUUUGGUAUUUGAGGCUUAAUGUUAAGAGUUUUACGAGUGUGGAGUA
This is a long non-coding RNA of Rosa rugosa (rugosa rose), 6354 nucleotides long. RefSeq lists it as uncharacterized. The record is from RefSeq and is a predicted model, not a curated record. The transcript is spliced from 6 exons. Lineage: Eukaryota; Viridiplantae; Streptophyta; Magnoliopsida; Rosales; Rosaceae.